RNAcentral lists this microRNA precursor (92 nucleotides) under Ochotona princeps (American pika). RNAcentral describes it as "miRNA (ENSOPRG00000022206.1)". Lineage: Eukaryota; Metazoa; Chordata; Mammalia; Lagomorpha; Ochotonidae. The record is from RNAcentral.
AUCACCUGGGAGCUUGUUAACACACAGACUGAGGCCGCAUUUCUGGCCCAAACCUGAGGUUUUGCAUUUCUAACAAGUUCCCAGGUGAUGCC